Molecule: ribosomal RNA, 206 nt
Filed under: uncultured bacterium
Lineage: Bacteria
Description: partial 16S ribosomal RNA
Rfam family: Bacterial small subunit ribosomal RNA
Source: RNAcentral
UGCGUAGGCGGGUCUUUAAGUCAGGGGUGAAGUCCUGGAGCUCAACUCCAGAACUGCCUUUGAUACUGAGGAUCUUGAGUACGGGAGGGGUGAGUGGAACUGCGAGUGUAGAGGUGAAAUUCGUAGAUAUUCGCAAGAACACCAGUGGCGAAGGCGGCUCACUGGCCCGUUACUGACGCUGAGGCACGAAAGCGUGGGAGCAAACA